GUUGGUUCAAGAACACUAAGAGAAACGAGAGCUCUAACUAAUGACUACAUCUGUAUUCUAUAAAUUACAAGAACAAAAGAAUCCUUCAUAUUUAGCUGUAGAUCAAAAUGGGAGAAAGAGAAAAAGAAGAGAAUACCAUAUAACCUCUGCCUUGCUGAAAAGAAGACCAUCAAAAGUCCCAAUCUAAGUGAGAUUGACAAAGGGACUCAAUAAUUCAUUCAACCAGAUUUACUUUUUAUUAAAUAUUCUGCAAAGAUGCCUCUAAAGAUCACAUGGGUGGAGUUAUCACCACACAUCACGCAGAUACCUUCCACUAGUUUGCAG
RNAcentral lists this unclassified non-coding RNA (324 nucleotides) under Hevea brasiliensis (rubber tree). The record is from RNAcentral. Lineage: Eukaryota; Viridiplantae; Streptophyta; Magnoliopsida; Malpighiales; Euphorbiaceae.